This 22-nucleotide non-coding RNA is filed under the name Arabidopsis thaliana (thale cress). The record is from RNAcentral. Lineage: Eukaryota; Viridiplantae; Streptophyta; Magnoliopsida; Brassicales; Brassicaceae.
UUUGAAGUGUGGCCAAUAACGC